AUUGAACGCUGGCGGAAUGCUUUACACAUGCAAGUCGAGCGGCAGCACGGGGGCAACCCUGGUGGCGAGCGGCGAACGGGUGAGUAACACAUCGGAACGUACCCUGUCGUGGGGGGAUAACGAGUCGAAAGAUUCGCUAAUACCGCAUACGACCCGAGGGUGAAAGCGGGGGAUCGCAAGACCUCGCGCGACUGGAGCGGCCGAUGGCGGAUUAGCUAGUUGGUGGGGUAAAGGCCCACCAAGGCGACGAUCCGUAGCGGGUCUGAGAGGACGGCCCGCCACACUGGGACUGAGACACGGCCCAGACUCCUACGGGAGGCAGCAGUGGGGGAAUUUUGGACAAUGGGGGCAACCCUGAUCCAGCCAUUCCGCGUGAGUGAAGAAGGCCUCGGUUGUAA
This 398-nucleotide ribosomal RNA is filed under the name uncultured bacterium. RNAcentral's name for it is "bacterial SSU rRNA". It matches the Rfam family "Bacterial small subunit ribosomal RNA", at positions 29 to 428 of the family's 1533-position model. The record is from RNAcentral.